GAUGAACGCUGGCGGCGUGCCUAAUACAUGCAAGUCGAGCGAACAGACGAGGAGCUUGCUCCUCUGACGUUAGCGGCGGACGGGUGAGUAACACGUGGAUAACCUACCUAUAAGACUGGGAUAACUUCGGGAAACCGGAGCUAAUACCGGAUAAUAUAUUGAACCGCAUGGUUCAAUAGUGAAAGACGGUUUUGCUGUCACUUAUAGAUGGAUCCGCGCCGCAUUAGCUAGUUGGUAAGGUAACGGCUUACCAAGGCAACGAUGCGUAGCCGACCUGAGAGGGGGAUCGGCCACACUGGAACUGAGACACGGUCCAGACUCCUACGGGAGGCAGCAGUAGGGAAUCUUCCGCAAUGGGCGAAAGCCUGACGGAGCAACGCCGCGUGAGUGAUGAAGGUCUUCGGAUCGUAAAACUCUGUUAUUAGGGAAGAACAAAUGUGUAAGUAACUAUGCACGUCUUGACGGUACCUAAUCAGAAAGCCACGGCUAACUACGUG
RNAcentral lists this ribosomal RNA (497 nucleotides) under uncultured bacterium. RNAcentral describes it as "partial 16S ribosomal RNA". It matches the Rfam family "Bacterial small subunit ribosomal RNA", at positions 28 to 507 of the family's 1533-position model. The record is from RNAcentral.